GGCCCCCGUGGGCGCCUGCCGGAGGUCCAAAACUCUUCUGUUUUUAGUACCGUGCCUCUCUGAGUUUGUUACAAAUACAAGUAAAAACUUUCAACAACGGAUCUCUUGGUUCUGGCAUCGAUGAAGAACGCAGCGAAAUGCGAUAAGUAAUGUGAAUUGCAGAAUUCAGUGAAUCAUCGAAUCUUUGAACGCACAUUGCGCCCGCCAGUAUUCUGGCGGGCAUGCCUGUUCGAGCGUCAUUUCAACCCUCAAGCCCGGCUUGGUGUUGGGGUUCUGUUUGUUCAAAACAGGCCCUGAAAUACAGUGGCGAGCUCACCUGGACUCCGAGCGUAGUAAUUAACGUCGCUCAGGGUGUUCGGUGGGUUUCUGCCGUAAAACCUCUCUAUUUCACAGAAAGGUUGACCUCGGAUCAGGUAGGAAUACCCGCUGAACUUAAGCAUAUCAAUAAGCGGAGG
Molecule: ribosomal RNA, 455 nt
Filed under: Humicola sp. 124BDA
Lineage: Eukaryota; Fungi; Ascomycota; Sordariomycetes; Sordariales; Chaetomiaceae
Description: eukaryotic LSU rRNA
Rfam family: 5.8S ribosomal RNA (bases 86-239)
Source: RNAcentral